This is an unclassified non-coding RNA of Papio anubis (olive baboon), 148 nucleotides long. It matches the Rfam family "Metazoan signal recognition particle RNA". Rfam says of the family: The signal recognition particle (SRP) is a universally conserved ribonucleoprotein. It is involved in the co-translational targeting of proteins to membranes. The eukaryotic SRP consists of a 300-nucleotide 7S RNA and six proteins: SRPs 72, 68, 54, 19, 14, and 9. The record is from Ensembl. NCBI's taxonomy places the organism in Eukaryota, Metazoa, Chordata, Mammalia, Primates, Cercopithecidae.
GCUGGGCUUGGUGGUGCAUGCCUGUGGUCCCAGCUACUUUGGAGGCUGAGGCAGGAGGAUCACUUGAGCUUAGGAGGUCAGGGCUCCAGUGAGCUGUGAGUACGCCAUUGCACUCCAGCCUGGGUGACAGAGUGGGAUCCUGUCUCAA